CUUAACCGGGCGUUAAGUUGCAGGGUAUAGACCCGAAACCCGGUGAUCUAGCCAUGGGCAGGUUGAAGGUUGGGUAACACUAACUGGAGGACCGAACCGACUAAUGUUGAAAAAUUAGCGGAUGACCUGUGGCUGGGGGUGAAAGGCCAAUCAAACCGGGAGAUAGCUGGUUCUCCCCGAAAGCUAUUUAGGUAGCGCCUCGUGAAUUCAUCUCCGGGGGUAGAGCACUGUUUCGGCUAGGGGGCCAUCCCGGCUUACCAACCCGAUGCAAACUGCGAAUACCGGAGAAUGUUAUCACGGGAGACACACGGCGGGUGCUAACGUCCGUCGUGAAGAGGGAAACAACCCAGACCGCCAGCUAAGGUCCCAAAGUCAUGGUUAAGUGGGAAACGAUGUGGGAAGGCCCAGACAGCCAGGAUGUUGGCUUAGAAGCAGCCAUCAUUUAAAGAAAGCGUAAUAGCUCACUGGUCGAGUCGGCCUGCGCGGAAGAUGUAACGGGGCUAAACCAUGCACCGAAGCUGCGGCAGCGACGCUUAUGCGUU
RNAcentral lists this ribosomal RNA (542 nucleotides) under Salmonella enterica. RNAcentral's name for it is "partial 23S ribosomal RNA". It matches the Rfam family "Bacterial large subunit ribosomal RNA", at positions 683 to 1222 of the family's 2925-position model. Lineage: Bacteria; Pseudomonadati; Pseudomonadota; Gammaproteobacteria; Enterobacterales; Enterobacteriaceae. The record is from RNAcentral.